Molecule: microRNA precursor, 52 nt
Filed under: Jaculus jaculus (lesser Egyptian jerboa)
Lineage: Eukaryota; Metazoa; Chordata; Mammalia; Rodentia; Dipodidae
Description: miRNA (ENSJJAG00000001469.1)
Source: RNAcentral
GCGGCAGGGGCAGCGGUGCUCCUGCCCCUCCGCCACCUCCCCCGCAGCCUCU